GCCAGGUACGGUGGUGCAUGCCUGUAAUCCCAGUGGCUUGGGAGGCUGAGACAGGAGGAUCCAGAGUUCAAAGCCAGCCUCAGCAAAAGUGAGGUGCUAAGCAACUCAGAGAGACCCUGUCUCUU
This 125-nucleotide small RNA is filed under the name Marmota monax (woodchuck). Lineage: Eukaryota; Metazoa; Chordata; Mammalia; Rodentia; Sciuridae. The record is from RNAcentral.